This 264-nucleotide ribosomal RNA is filed under the name uncultured archaeon. Its description in RNAcentral is "partial 16S ribosomal RNA". It matches the Rfam family "Archaeal small subunit ribosomal RNA", at positions 717 to 982 of the family's 1478-position model. The record is from RNAcentral.
AGACGUCUACAUUAGAUACCCGCGUAGUCCCAGCCAUAAACUAUGCGCGUUAGGUGUAUCGGUGACCACGAGUCACCGAGGUGCCGAAGGGAAACCGUGAAACGUGCCGCCUGGGAAGUACGGUCGCAAGGCUGAAACUUAAAGGAAUUGGCGGGGAGCACCACAACGGGUGGAGCCUGCGGUUUAAUUGGACUCAACGCCGGGAAGCUCACCGGAUAAGACAGCGGAAUGAUUGCCGGGCUGAAGACUCUGCAUGACUAGCUG